RNAcentral lists this ribosomal RNA (489 nucleotides) under uncultured bacterium. RNAcentral describes it as "partial 16S ribosomal RNA". It matches the Rfam family "Bacterial small subunit ribosomal RNA", at positions 31 to 507 of the family's 1533-position model. The record is from RNAcentral.
GAACGCUGGCGGUAGGCCUAACACCUGCAAGUCGAACGGCAGCACAGUAAGAGCUUGCUCUUACGGGUGGCGAGUGGCGGACGGGUGAGGAAUACAUCGGAAUCUACUUUUUCGUGGGGGAUAACGUAGGGAAACUUACGCUAAUACCGCAUACGACCUACGGGUGAAAGCAGGGGAUCUUCGGACCUUGCGCGAUUGAAUGAGCCGAUGUCGGAUUAGCUAGUUGGCGGGGUAGAGGCCCACCAAGGCGACGAUCCGUAGCUGGUCUGAGAGGAUGAUCAGCCACACUGGAACUGAGACACGGUCCAGACUCCUACGGGAGGCAGCAGUGGGGAAUAUUGGACAAUGGGCGCAAGCCUGAUCCAGCCAUACCGCGUGGGUGAAGAAGGCCUUCGGGUUGUAAAGCCCUUUUGUUGGGAAAGAAAAGCAGCAGGUUAAUACCCCGCUGUUCUGACGGUACCCAAAGAAUAAGCACCGGCUAACUUCGUG